GACGUAGGGUGCAAGCGUUGUCCGGAUUUACUGGGCGUAAAGAGCGCGUAGGCGGCUCGUUAAGUGUGAGAUGAAGCUGUGGGCUCAACCCACAAACCGCUUUUCACUACUGGCGAUGCUGGAGUGAUGCAGAGGUGGAUAGAAUUCCUGGUGAGCGGUGAAAUGCGCAGAUAUCAGGAGGAACACCGGUGGCGAAGGCGGAUCUCUGGGCCUGUUCUGACGCUGAGGCGCGAAAGCCGUGGGGAGCAAACAGG
RNAcentral lists this ribosomal RNA (254 nucleotides) under uncultured bacterium. RNAcentral describes it as "partial 16S ribosomal RNA". It matches the Rfam family "Bacterial small subunit ribosomal RNA", at positions 524 to 776 of the family's 1533-position model. The record is from RNAcentral.